AUUGAACGCUGGCGGCAGGCCUAACACAUGCAAGUCGAGCGGAUGAAGGGAGCUUGCUCCUGGAUUCAGCGGCGGACGGGUGAGUAAUGCCUAGGAAUCUGCCUGGUAGUGGGGGAUAACGUCCGGACACGGGCGCUAAUACCGCAUACGGCCUGAGGGAGAAAGUGGGGGAUCUUCGGACCUCACGCUAUCAGAUGAGCCUAGGUCGGAUUAGCUAGUUGGUGGGGUAACGGCCUACCAAGGCGACGAUCCGUAACUGGUCUGAGAGGAUGAUCAGUCACACUGGAACUGAGACACGGUCCAGACUCCUACGGGAGGCCGCAGUGGGGAAUAUUGGACAAUGGGCGAAAGCCUGAUCCAGCCAUGCCGCGUGUGUGAAGAAGGUCUUCGGAUUGUAAAGCACUUUAAGUUGGGAGGAAGGGCAGUAAGUUAAUACCUUGCUGUUUUGACGUUACCAACAGAAUAAGCACCGGCUAACUUCGUG
RNAcentral lists this ribosomal RNA (484 nucleotides) under uncultured bacterium. Its description in RNAcentral is "partial 16S ribosomal RNA". It matches the Rfam family "Bacterial small subunit ribosomal RNA", at positions 30 to 507 of the family's 1533-position model. The record is from RNAcentral.